This 497-nucleotide ribosomal RNA is filed under the name uncultured bacterium. RNAcentral's name for it is "partial 16S ribosomal RNA". It matches the Rfam family "Bacterial small subunit ribosomal RNA", at positions 28 to 507 of the family's 1533-position model. The record is from RNAcentral.
GAUGAACGCUGGCGGCGUGCCUAAUACAUGCAAGUCGAGCGAACAGACGAGGAGCUUGCUCCUCUGACGUUAGCGGCGGACGGGUGAGUAACACGUGGAUAACCUACCUAUAAGACUGGGAUAACUUCGGGAAACCGGAGCUAAUACCGGAUAAUAUAUUGAACCGCAUGGUUCAAUAGUGAAAGACGGUUUUGCUGUCACUUAUAGAUGGAUCCGCGCCGCAUUAGCUAGUUGGUAAGGUAACGGCUUACCAAGGCAACGAUGCGUAGCCGACCUGAGAGGGUGAUCGGCCACACUAGAACUGAGACACGGUCCAGACUCCUACGGGAGGCAGCAGUAGGGAAUCUUCCGCAAUGGGCGAAAGCCUGACGGAGCAACGCCGCGUGAGUGAUGAAGGUCUUCGGAUCGUAAAACUCUGUUAUUAGGGAAGAACAAAUGUGUAAGUAACUAUGCACGUCUUGACGGUACCUAGUCAGAAAGCCACGGCUAACUACGUG